RNAcentral lists this ribosomal RNA (1496 nucleotides) under Akko sp. GO178. RNAcentral describes it as "partial 16S ribosomal RNA". It matches the Rfam family "Bacterial large subunit ribosomal RNA", at positions 404 to 2597 of the family's 2925-position model. Lineage: Eukaryota; Metazoa; Chordata; Actinopteri; Gobiiformes; Gobiidae. The record is from RNAcentral.
CAUCCCCAACAGCUAGCCCAACCUAAAAACACAACAAUCAUCAUUAAUACCCCCAAAACCCCAUAAACUAAACAUCAAACCAUUUUUCCCCCUUAGUAUGGGAGACAGAACAGGAACAAGGCGCCAUAGAAAAAGUACCGCAAGGGAAAGCUGAAAGAGAAAUGAAAAAACGCAGUAAAGGACAAAAAAGCAGAGACUAACCCUCGUACCUUUUGCAUCAUGAUUUAGCUAGUAACUCCAGGCAAAGAGACCUUUAUGUCUGAGCCCCCGAAACUAAGCGAGCUACUCCAAGACAGCCUAUUAUAGGGCGAACCCGUCUCUGUGGCAAAAGAGUGGGAAGAGCUUUGAGUAGAGGUGACAGACCUACCGAGCUUAGUUAUAGCUGGUUGCCUGAGAACCGAAUAGAAGUUCAACCUUUUAGCUUCUUACACCAAUUAAGGUCCCACCACCACCCGGCCCCGAGAACACUAAAAGAGCUAUUCAAGGGAGGGACAGCUCUCUUGAAAAAAGAUACAACUUUUACAGAAGGUGAAAGAUUAAACAAAAAAAGGCAAUAUACCCAGGUGGGCCUAAAAGCAGCCAUCCUAACAGAAAGCGUUAAAGCUUAAGUAUUAGAACCCUACAAUUCCAAAAAACAUUUCUUAAACCCCUAAAACCUAUCAGGCCCUUCCAUGCCCCCAUGGAAAAGAAACUGCUAAUAUGAGUAAUAAGAAAGCCAAGGCUUUCUCCCCGCACCUGUGUAAUCAGAACAGACCCUAACUGAAAAUUAACGCCCCCACCCACAGAGGGUAAUGAGAUAACCAAAAAAGACCAAGAAGUCCCCUCAUUAAAUAGCGUUGGCCCCACACAGGAGUGCUAAAGGAAAGACAAAAAGAAAAAGAAGGAACUCGGCAAACACUGGCCUCGCCUGUUUACCAAAAACAUCGCCUCUUGCAAGAUAUGUAUAAGAGGUCCCGCCUGCCCUGUGACGAGAGUUUAACGGCCGCGGUAUUUUGACCGUGCGAAGGUAGCGUAAUCACUUGUCUUUUAAAUAAAGACCUGUAUGAAUGGCAUAACAGAGGGCUAAGCUGUCUCCUUUUUCUAGUCAAUGAAAUUGAUCUGCCCGUGCAGAAGCGAGCAUAAAUACAUAAGACGAGAAGACCCUAUGGAGCUUAAGACACAAGGACAGACUACGUUAAGAUAUCUUAAUAACAAGAACAAAACCAAGUAACUACUGCCCCCAUGUCUUUGGUUGGGGCGACCGCGGGGAAACAACAAACCCCCACGUGGAACGGGACCAAAGUCCCUAAAGCCAGAGCCACAGCUCUAACAAACAGAAAUUCUGACCAACAAGAUCCGGCCAAGCCGAUCAACGGACCCAGUUACCCUAGGGAUAACAGCGCAAUCCCCUUCUAGAGCCCAUAUCGACAAGGGGGUUUACGACCUCGAUGUUGGAUCAGGACAUCCUAAUGGUGCAGCCGCUAUUAAGGGUUCGUUUGUUCAACGAUUAAAGUCCU